AUACGGAGGAUCCGAGCGUUAUCCGGAUUUAUUGGGUUUAAAGGGUGCGCAGGCGGGAGAUUAAGUCGGCGGUGGAAUUUUUCAGCUCAACUGUAAAAGUGCCUUCGGAACUGGUUUUCUUGAGUGUAGAUGAAGUAGGCGGGAUUUGUGGUGUAGCGGUGAAAUGCAUAGAUAUCACGAGGAACUCCGAUUGCGCAGGCAGCUUACUAAACUACUACUGACGCUCAGGCACGAAGGCGUGGGGAUCAAACAGGAUUAGAUACCCUGGUAGUCCACGCAGUAAACGAUGAUUACUAGCUGUUUGCGAUACAAUGUAAGCGGCUGAGCGAAAGCGUUAAGUAAUCCACCUGGGGAGUACGUUCGCAAGAAUGAAACUCAAAUGAAUUGACGGGG
This 393-nucleotide ribosomal RNA is filed under the name uncultured bacterium. Its description in RNAcentral is "partial 16S ribosomal RNA". It matches the Rfam family "Bacterial small subunit ribosomal RNA", at positions 523 to 918 of the family's 1533-position model. The record is from RNAcentral.